UACGAAUGGGGCAAGCGUUGUUCGGAAUCACUGGGCUUAAAGCGUGCGCAGGCGGCCAUGCAAGUCAGGAGUGAAAUCCCGGGGCUUAACCCCGGAAUUGCUUCUGAAACUGCACGGCUAGGAUAUGGGAGAGGUUAGCAGAAUUCCGAGUGUAGAGGUGAAAUUCGCAGAUAUUCGGAGGAAUACCAGUGGCGAAGGCGGCUAACUGGACCAUUAUCGACGCUCAGGCACGAAAGCGUGGGGAGCAAACAGG
RNAcentral lists this ribosomal RNA (253 nucleotides) under uncultured bacterium. RNAcentral describes it as "partial 16S ribosomal RNA". It matches the Rfam family "Bacterial small subunit ribosomal RNA", at positions 524 to 776 of the family's 1533-position model. The record is from RNAcentral.